Molecule: long non-coding RNA, 716 nt
Organism: Oncorhynchus tshawytscha (Chinook salmon)
Lineage: Eukaryota; Metazoa; Chordata; Actinopteri; Salmoniformes; Salmonidae
Source: Ensembl
AGGUUCCAUCCAUGUUGACCAGUCAAACUGCCACGGUCAGAGGUUCCAUGUUAACCAGUCAAACUGCCUCGGUCAGAAGUUCCAUGUUAACUAGUCAAACUGCCUCGGUCAGAGGUUCCAUCCAUGUUAACCAGUCAAACUGCCUCGGUCAGAGGUUCCAUCCAUGUUAACCAGUCAAACUGCCACGGUCAAAGGUUCCAUCCAUGUUAACCAGUCAAACUGCCACGGUCAGAGGUUCCAUCCAUAUUAACCAGUCAAACUGCCACGGUCAGAAGUUCCAUGUUAACCAGUCAAACUGCCACGGUCAGAGGUUCCAUCCAUGUUAACCAGUCAAACUGCCACGGUCAGAGGUUCCAUGUUAACCAGUCAAACUGCCUCGGUCAGAGGUUCCAUCCAUGUUAACUAGUCAAACUGCCACGGUCAGAGGUUCCAUGUUAACCAGUCAAACUGCCUCGGUCAGAGGUUCCAUCCAUGUUAACCAGUCAAACUGCCACGGUCAGAGGUUCCAUGUUAACCAGUCAAACUGCCACGGUCAGAGGUUCCAUGUUAACCAGUCAAACUGCCACGGUCAGAAGUUCCAUGUUAACCAGUCAAACUGCCACGGUCAGAGGUUCCAUCCAUGUUAACCAGUCAAACUGCCUCGGUCAGAGGUUCCAUGUUAACCAGUCAAACUGCCUCAGUCAGAGGUUCCAUCCAUGUUAACCAGUCAAACUGCC